GACGAACGCUGGCGGCGUGCUUAACACAUGCAAGUCGAACGAUGAAGCCUUUCGGGGUGGAUUAGUGGCGAACGGGUGAGUAACACGUGGGCAAUCUGCCCUGCACUCUGGGACAAGCCUUGGAAACGAGGUCUAAUACCGGAUAAUACUUUCCUCUGCAUGGGGGAGGGUUGAAAGCUCCGGCGGUGCAGGAUGAGCCCGCGGCCUAUCAGCUUGUUGGUGGGGUGAUGGCCUACCAAGGCGACGACGGGUAGCCGGCCUGAGAGGGCGACCGGCCACACUGGGACUGAGACACGGCCCAGACUCCUACGGGAGGCAGCAGUGGGGAAUAUUGCACAAUGGGCGAAAGCCUGAUGCAGCGACGCCGCGUGAGGGAUGACGGCCUUCGGGUUGUAAACCUCUUUCAGCAGGGAAGAAGCGUGAGUGACGGUACCUGCAGAAGAAGCGCCGGCUAACUACGUGCCAGCAGCCGCAGUAAAAC
Molecule: ribosomal RNA, 481 nt
Filed under: uncultured bacterium
Lineage: Bacteria
Description: bacterial SSU rRNA
Rfam family: Bacterial small subunit ribosomal RNA
Source: RNAcentral